Molecule: non-coding RNA, 1384 nt
Organism: Phasianus colchicus (ring-necked pheasant)
Lineage: Eukaryota; Metazoa; Chordata; Aves; Galliformes; Phasianidae
Source: RefSeq, a predicted model, not a curated record
ACAAAAAGGUAAACAUUUUCUAACAGAAAUAAGUAGUUAGCAAACAGAAAAUAGCUCUCUGUACUUCAGUAGUCGUAAGUGUCAUGGGAUGUUUAAUGCUUUUGUCUGUGGCUAUGUAAAUCUGAAGCAUGCUGUUAGGGUUAAAGUUAAGUGAACUCUUAAGUUGACACACAGCAGUGUGUAUAUCAAAUGAGAAAUAAUUUAUGGUUCCUUUUGUCUGUAAUUGCUCAUCCAACUAGAAUUUAGCAUAGUCACUGAGGAAAAUAAGUAGGAACCUUCAUAUCUUUAUAGAAUUUCUGUCAGAAGAAACCAUUUAUAGUUGGUCAUAGAUUCUCAGUGUUGUAAUUUUCCUUUUUUCAGGUCCUACCUGCUGUUCAGUGGUUGUAUGUGUGAGGUGUAUGUUAAAAGAGGGAGUCUGGGAUCAUAUCAUUUCCAUUUCCAGAGAUCCAAAGGGUUGCUAAUUUUGCUGAAUUACUUUCUGUGUAUUUCAUACAGGACCAGCAGUGGUAAAGACAAACAGCAGUGGCUUGUUGGCUAGCCAGGGCACGGACAGCCUGCUUGUAGGUUUUCUUUUUUUGCCUUUGCAAAUCUGUAGGUGCUACAGAAUAUGUCUUAUACUUGCAGAAGAGAAAAAAAGAGAACAAAGUGAAGAAAAAGAAAGAAAAGAAGAAAAAGAAAGAAAAAACAGGACCUGUCCAGCUUUCUAAGUUCUUCAAAAACAAAAAGAAGAAUGAGAACUAUAGCAUGAUAACUGGAAAGAAAAUUAAGAUGAAAAUAAAGAAGACUAAGAAAGAUAAAGAGAGAGACCGGAACCGUGCAGAGCUGCUUGAAUUUCUGAACUCUGCCUUAUAAUGGGAAGAGUGUGACCAAGGACUUGUAAGUACACCAAGCCAGUGAUGAUCAUGCCUAGCAAAAAAGCUAAAGAAAACUCAGGGAAAAGGAUGCCGAGUUUGACAAGACCAGACUCCUGCUGAGACAAUCAGGAUAUCCUUUUUUAAUGGCAAAAUGAAGAUCAAACGAUAACUUGUUAAUGAAGAUCUAUGUCCUUCUUUUGAGAUGCUAUGGUAACAGCCAGGCUGUGGUGUUUUAGAAGAUCCUAAGAGUGUGUCAUUGGCAAUGACAUGAAUUGACACACUGAGGUCCAAUUCUGUCCUAACUGCAUGCAGAACACGCUUUUAAUUUCAAAUGUCUUAAAGUUUCCAGUAGCUUAAACAAAGCGGAUUAUUUGUAACUGUCUGUUGAAAGAUGAGGCAUUUCUAUGUGUAUAUUUUUUCCAGUAGUGGUUUUACUUGUCCUAAAGAGCAGGUUGACCUUUGUAAAUAGAACAUCCUUUUACAUAAAUGCUUUUUUGACAGUUCAUUCAUUAAUAUAUUAUUUUAUUUCA